CUAAGUACCCCGAGGAAAAGAAAUCAACCGAGAUUCCCCCAGUAGCGGCGAGCGAACGGGGAGCAGCCCAGAGCCUGAAUCAGUGUGUGUGUUAGUGGAAGCGUCUGGAAAGGCGUGCGAUACAGGGUGACAGCCCCGUACACAAAAAUGCACAUACUGUGAGCUCGAUGAGUAGGGCGGGACACGUGGUAUCCUGUCUGAAUAUGGGGGGACCAUCCUCC
Molecule: ribosomal RNA, 221 nt
Filed under: Shigella flexneri
Lineage: Bacteria; Pseudomonadati; Pseudomonadota; Gammaproteobacteria; Enterobacterales; Enterobacteriaceae
Description: partial 23S ribosomal RNA
Rfam family: Bacterial large subunit ribosomal RNA
Source: RNAcentral